Molecule: transfer RNA, 73 nt
Filed under: Marmota monax (woodchuck)
Lineage: Eukaryota; Metazoa; Chordata; Mammalia; Rodentia; Sciuridae
Description: tRNA.Ala
Source: RNAcentral
GUGGGGUUGUGUCUCAAUGGUACAGCACUUGCCUGGCAUGUGUGAGGCCCUGGGUUCAAUCCUCAGCACCACA